UUGUGGUUAAAAAGCUCGUCGUUGGAUCUCAACAGCCUUGAAGCGGUUAACUUUGUAGUUUUACUGCUUUAUAGGCUGUGCUUUUGCUGGAGGUUUAGGGGUGCUCUUGAUCGAGUGUCUCUGGAUGCCAGCAGGUUUACUUUGAAAAAAUUAGAGUGCUCAAAGCAGGCUAAAAUGCCUGAAUAUUCGUGCAUGGAAUAAUAGAAUAGGAUGUCGAUCCUAUUUUGUUGGUUUUCGGGACUCGACAUAAUGAUAAAUAGGGACAGUCGGGGGCAUUUGUAUUCAAACGACAGAGGUGAAAUUCUUGGACCGUUUGAAGACAAACUACUGCGAAAGCAUUUGCCAAGAAUGUUUUCAUUAAUCAAGAACGAAAGUUAGAGGUUCGAAGGCGAUUAGAUACCGCCCUAGUUCUAACCAUAAACGAUGCCAGCUAGCGAUCUGCCUGCGUUUUUACUGUAGACUGGGCAGGAAGCUUCCGGGAAACCAAAGCAUUUGGGUUCCAGGGGAAAGUAUGGUUGCAAAGCUGAAACUUAAAGGAAUUGACGGAAGGGCACCACCAGGAGUGGAGCCUGUGGGCUUAAUUUGACUCAACAC
RNAcentral lists this ribosomal RNA (594 nucleotides) under uncultured marine eukaryote. Its description in RNAcentral is "SSU rRNA". It matches the Rfam family "Eukaryotic small subunit ribosomal RNA", at positions 613 to 1206 of the family's 1831-position model. The record is from RNAcentral.